GGGAAUGUAGUUAUUAAUAACAUUUAAUUUGCAAUUAAAAAGAACUAAAUUUAAGUCUUUCUCA
Molecule: transfer RNA, 64 nt
Filed under: Phaenacantha bicolor
Lineage: Eukaryota; Metazoa; Arthropoda; Insecta; Hemiptera; Colobathristidae
Also listed under: 1 other name
Description: tRNA-Ala
Source: RNAcentral